Molecule: small nucleolar RNA, 87 nt
Organism: Ochotona princeps (American pika)
Lineage: Eukaryota; Metazoa; Chordata; Mammalia; Lagomorpha; Ochotonidae
Gene: SNORA74
Rfam family: Small nucleolar RNA SNORA74
About the family: U19 belongs to the H/ACA class of snoRNAs. snoRNAs bind a number of proteins (including dyskerin, Gar1p and Nop10p in the case of the H/ACA class) to form snoRNP complexes. This class are thought to guide the sites of modification of uridines to pseudouridines by forming direct base pairing interactions with substrate RNAs.
Source: Ensembl
CUCAGCUGUAGGCAACUGCCUAAGUUACCUUGUACCUAAGUAAGUGUUACACUGCUGGGAGAAAGGAGCCAGUAGCUGACAGGCAUU